Molecule: unclassified non-coding RNA, 308 nt
Filed under: uncultured fungus
Lineage: Eukaryota; Fungi
Description: sequence contains ITS1
Rfam family: 5.8S ribosomal RNA (bases 1-105)
Source: RNAcentral
GAAAUGCGAUACGCAAUGCGAAUUGCAGAAUUCCGCGAGUCAUCAGAUCUUUGAACGCAACUGGCGCUGGAGGGAUAUCCUUCCAGCAUGCUUGUUUCAGUGUCUAGAAACAUCAUAUAUCUUAAUGUGAUUGAUAGCAAUAUCUCUCAUGAAAUAUGUAAAUGUGGAUCUUUUGAUCCAACGAAGUAGUCGCAUUUUAAUAUGUGAUCUCGUUGGUAUAUUCAAAUUAUCCGUAAACAUUUAGUUUUUUACAAAAACUACUCUUCAAUAUGCAUCUGAAAUCAAGCAAGGUUACCCGCUGAACUUAA